Long non-coding RNA from Hypanus sabinus (Atlantic stingray), 5875 nucleotides. RefSeq lists it as uncharacterized. The record is from RefSeq and is a predicted model, not a curated record. NCBI's taxonomy places the organism in Eukaryota, Metazoa, Chordata, Chondrichthyes, Myliobatiformes, Dasyatidae. The transcript has 3 exons.
CGGCCAGUGAGUGCGUGGGCCAGUGAAGGAGUGGCAAUUUGAGGCUUUGACUUGAGAGGCUUCAAUGAGAAGAGGCAGCGGACGAGCUUCACUCCAAGUGAGCUUUCCAAUCUUCAAGCAGACUGAAUAGGCCAAAUUGCCCAACUCUGCUCCUACUUCUGUGGAAAGUGGCCAGUAAAGGAGUGGAGAUUUGAGGCUUUGACUCGAGAGGCUUCGACAAGAAGAGACGGCAGACGAGCUUCACUCCAAGUGUGGUAAGGCCAGGUAAGUUCCUUUCAAAGGAGAAAGUUUCAAAAGUUGAGGCAAGUAUUGGGUAGGUCAUGGCAGCUGAGAUCGGCCCCAUGGUUUGUUCAUUCUGCAGCACGUGGGAAAUCAGUGAUACUUCCAGUGUCCCUGACGACUACGUGUGCAGGAAGUGUGCCCAACUGCAGCUUCUGGCAGACUGCUUUGAGCGUCUGGAGCUGCGAUUGGAUUCAUACAGGAGCAUCCGCGAUGCUGAGAAAGUCGUGAAUAGCACUUUCAGUGAGUUGGCCACACCACAGGUAAAGGCUACACGGGCAGAAAGGGAAGGGGUGGCCACUAGACAGCGUAGCAGUAGGCAGGUAGUGCAAGAGUCCUCUGAGGUCAUCUCCCUCCUGAACAGAUAUACUGUUUUGGGUACUGUUGGGGGAGAUGUCUCAACAGGGGAAGGCAGCAGCAGCCGAGUUCAUUGCACCAUGGGUGGCUCUGCGGCACAGGAGGGAAGGAAGAGGAGUGGGAGAGCUAUAGUGAUAAGGGAUUCGAUUGUAAGGGGAAUAGAUAGGCGUUUCUGCGGCCGCAAACGAGACUCGAGGAUGGUAUGUUGCCUCCUUGGUGCAAGGGUCAAGGAUGUCUCUGAGCGGCUGCGGGACAUUCUGGAAUGGGAGGGUGAACAGCCAGUGGUCGUGGUGCACAUAGCUACCAACGAUUUAGGUAAAAAAUGGAAUGAGGUCCUACAAGGUGAAUUUAGGGAGUUAGGAAAUAAACUAAAAAGUAGGACCACAACAGUAAUAAUCUCUGGAUUACUACCAGUGCCACAUGUUAGUCAGAGUAGAAAUAGGAGGAUACUUCAGAUGAAUAUGUGGCUUGAAAAAUGGUGCAAGGGGGAGGGAUUCAAAUUUCUGGGGCAUUGGGGAGGUGGGACCGGUAUAAACAGGACGGUCUGCACCUGGGCUGGACUGGAACCAAUGUCCUAGGGGGAGCAUUUGCCACUGCUGUUCAGGAGGCUUUAAACUAAUGUGGCAGGGGAUGGGAACAAGUGCAGAGAGACAGAGGGGUGUAAAAUGAGGGUAGAAGCAAAAAGUAGUAAGGUGAAAAGUAAAAGUGGCAGGCAGGCAAAUCCAGGGCAAAAAGCAAAAAGAGCCACUUUUCAACAUAAUUGUAUAAGGGCUAAGAGUGUUGUAAAAACAAGCCUGAAGGCUUUGUGUGUCAAUGCGAGGAGCAUUCGUAACAAGGUGGAUGAAUUGAAUGUGCAGAUAGUUAUUAAUGAAUAUGAUAUAGUUGGGAUCACAGUGACAUGGCUCCAGGGUGACCAAGGAUGGGAGCUCAACAUCCAGGGAUAUUCAAUAUUCUGGAGGGAUAGACAGGAAAGAAAAGGAGGUGGGGUAGCAUUACUGGUUAGAGAGGAGAUUAACGCAAUAGAAAGGAAGGACGUUAGCCUGGAGGAUGUGGAAUCGAUUCAGAAACAAAGGUUCUGAAUUUAAAGAAGGGUAACUUUGAAGGUAUGAGACGUGAAUUAGCUAAGAUAGACUGGCAAAUGAUACUUCAAGGGUUGAUGGUGGAUAUGCAAUGGCAAGCAUUUAAAGAUCGCAUGGAUGAACUACAACAAUUGUUCAUCCCAGUUUGGCAAAAGAAUAAACCAGGGAAGGUAGCGCACCCAUGGCUGACAAGGGAAAUUAGGGAUAGUAUCAAAUCCAAAGAAGAAACAUAUAAAUUAACAAAAAAAAGUGGCACACCUGAGGACUGGGAGAAAUUCAGAGACCAGCAGAGGAGGACAAAGGGCUUAAUUAGGAAAGGGAAAAAAGAUUAAGAGAGAAAGCUGGCAGGGAACAUAAAAACUGUCUGUAAAAGCUUUUAUAGAUACGUGAAAAGAAAAAGAUUGGUCAAGACAAAUGUAGGUCCUUUACAGUCAGAAACAGGUGAAUUGAUCAUAGGGAACAAAGACAUGGCAGACCAAUUGAAUAACUACUUUGGUUCUGUCUUCACUAAGGAGGACAUAAAUAGUCUUCCGGAAAUAGUAAGGGACCGAGGGUCUAGUGAGAUGGAGGAACUGAGGGAAAUACAUGUUAGUAGGGAAGUGGUGUUAGGUAAAUUGAAGGGAUUAAAGGCAGAUAAAUCCCCAGGGCCAGAUGGUCUGCAUCCCAGAGUGCUUAAGGAAGUAGCCCAAGAAAUAGUGGAUGCAUUAGUGAUAAUUUUUCAAAACUCCUUAGAUUCUGGAUUAGUUCCUGAGGAUUGGAGGGUGGCUAAUGUAACCCCACUUUUUAAAAAAGGAGGGAGAGAGAAACCGGGGAAUUAUAGACUGGUUAGUGUGACAUCGGUGGUGGGGAAAAUGCUAGAGUUGGUUAUCAAAGAUGUGAAAACAGCACAUUUGGAAAGAGGUGAAAUCAUCGGACAAAGUCAGCAUGGAUUUGUGAAAGGAAAAUCCUGUCUGACGAAUCUUAUAGAAUUUUUUAAAGAUGUAACUAGUAGUGGAUAGGGGAGAGCCAGUGGAUGUGGUAUAUUUAGAUUUUCAAAAGGCUUUUGACAAGGUCCCACACAGGAGAUUAGUGUGCAAACUUAAAGCACACGGUAUUGGGGGUAUGGUAUUGAUGUGGAUAGAGAAUUGUUUGGCAGACAGGAAGCAAAGAGUGGGAGUAAAUGGGACCUUUUCAGAAUGGCAGGCGGUGACUAGUGGGGUACCGCAAGGCUCAGUGCUGGGACCCCAGUUGUCUACAAUAUAUAUUAAUGAUUUUGACGAGGGAAUUAAAUGCAGCAUCUCCAAAUUUGUGGAUGACACGAAGCUGGGCGGCGGUGUUAGCUGUGGGGAGGAUGCUAAGAGGACGCAGGGUGACUUGGAUAGGUUAGGAGAUUGGGCAAAUUCAUGGCAGAUGCAAUUUAAUGUGGAUAAAUGUGAGGUUAUCCACUUUGGUUGCAAGAAUAGGAAAACAGAUUAUUAUCUGAAUGGUGGCCGAUUAGGAAAAGGGGAGAUGUAAUGAGACCUGGGUGUCAUUGUACACCAGUCAUUGAAGGUGGGCAUGCAGGUACAGCAGGCGGUGAAAAUGGCAAAUGGUAUGUUGGCAUUCAUAGCAAAAGGAUUUGAAUGCAGGAGCAGGGAGGUUCUACUGCAGUUGUACAAGGCCUUGGUGAGACUGCACCUAGAAUAUUGAGUGCAGUUUUGGUCCCCUAAUCUGAGGAAAGACAUUCUUGCCAUAGAGGGAGUACAGAGAAGGUUCACCAGAUUGAUUCCUGGGAUGGCAGGACUUUCAUAUGAAGAAAGACUGGAUCGACUGGGCUUAUACUUACUGGAAUUUAGAAGAUUGAGGGGGGAUCUUAUUGAAACGUAUAAAAUUCUAAAGGGAUUGGACAGGCUAGAUGCAGGAAGAUUGUUUCUGAUGUUGGGGAAGUCCAGAAUGAGGGGGCCACAGUUGAAGGAUAAAGGGGAAGCCUUUUAGGACCAAGAUGAGGAAAAACUUCUUCACACAGAGAGAGGUGAAUCUGUGGAAUUCUCUGCCACAGGAAACAGUUAAGGCCGGUUCAUUGGCUAUAUUUAAGAGGAAGUUCGAUAUGGCCCUCGAGGCUAAAGGGAUCGGGGGUAUGGAGAGAAAGCAAGUACAGGGUUCUGAGUUGGAUGAUCAGCCAUGAUCAUAUUGAAUGAUGGUGCAGGCUCGAUGGGCCAAAUAGCCUACUCCUGCACCUAUUUUCUAUGUUUCUAAUGUUUCAUCGUUAAGAAAUCUUUGUUGCUCUGAAGAGCACAAAUAUUUUGAAACAGUGACAGGAACACAUGGACAGAUAAACUGGACUGGUGGAAACAGAAAUCUUGGUCCCCUCAUUCUUAUCCAACUUCCCAGUCAUCUUAAAAAUGUAUGUGGCCCCUCACUUACCCAAGAUUACCACCGAACCACUGCCUUCAGAACACACAAUCUCCAACUCAGGUACCACCUGCCACAGUGUACGUUGUCCACCAGGUAGCACCUCACCAAGACCAGGCAACAGCGUCUGAACUCCACACAAAAUGCUGGAGGAACUCAGCAGGUCAGGCAGCAUCUAUUGAAAUGAAUAAACAGCUGACAUUUCAGGCCCAGACCCUUCGUCAGAACUGGAAAGGAAGGGGAUGAAGGAGUAAGAAAUUGAUGUUUGUGCCAUCAGGUUGAAGGCUACUGCACAAAAUAUGAGGUGAUGCUCCUCCAACCUGAGAGAGGCCUCAUCGCAGCAGAAGAGGAGGCCAAUCCCAUUCCAAUAUGUAGGAAUGGGAAUGAGGAUAGGAGUUAAAAUGGUCGGCCACCAGGAAAUUCUGCUUUUUGCAGAUGGAGCAGAGGUGCUCGAUAAAGUGGUCCCUCAAAAUACACAGUGGUCUCGCCAAUGUAGAGGAGGCUGCACUGGGAGCACUGGAGAGUGUAGAUGACCCAAAAUGAUUCACAGGUGUUGCCUCAUCUGGAAGGACUGUCUGGGGCCUUGAAUGGAGUUGAGGGAUGUGGUGAAUGGGCAGGUGUAGCAUUACUGCUGUUUGCAGGGAUAAGUGCCAGGAGGGACAAAGGAAUGCCGGAGAGAGCGAUCCCUGUGGAAAAUGGAGAGUGGGAGAGGUUAAGAUAUGUCUAGUGGUAAGGUCCUGUUGAAGAUGCAGAAGUUGCAGAGACUGAUGUGUUAGAUGCGGAGGCAAACAAUGCAGCCUGGAAGAAAAGGGCACGUAGUAACACAACCAUUUUCAGGUUCUCCUUCAAAUCACAUACCAUUGACACUUAACUAUACAUUACCAAUCCCUCAUUGUUGCUGAGAGCACCUGAUCACAUGAAGAUGGCCUACCACUCCUUUCAGAAGAGUCGUUAAGGAUGGUCACUUGACGUUGGUCUUUCUGGCAAUUACCACAGUCCAAGAUCAAUAAAAUGUCUGAAGCCCAGCCCAGUUUCAAUCAGCUUGCAGGAAUACCUGAGAAAUGACCCAGUUAUUUGGGGCACAAACCUUUUCAACGUAUUUUGGACACACAUGUUGGUCUUGAAAUUAACCUGAGUUGAAUGCAAUUAUGAUUAAUACCAAUUUUACAGCAUAUUAUUUCAAACUGUUGUUCCUCGCCAUGUCUCAUGGUGCAUUGGCUGUUUCUCUCACAUUUGUCUCUUUUACGAGGUUGAGUCACUAGCUCAAUGCUCAACUCAGCAGGGAUGGAAAUUAUCAAAGAGCCAGUCAGACUCAACCACUCACCUUAAAGUCUGGUGCGGAUGCCACUGCAUAACCAGCCAAUCAUGUUUCACGUGCUAAAGAAGAAUUUCAAUGGCCCAGCAACAUUAUGAGUGCAGUGAUAAACAGCUUUAUCUUCACUUCACAAGAAGGGCUUAUUUAUAAUGCAGCUACGAUGCAUGGCUUCAGAUGACACCUUCAUGAAUUUCGUGUUGAACCAGAAGAAUGAUAUAAAGAGCUGUAACAGCAGCAGAAUUACAAGCCUGAACAGUGUGGUUGAAUCUGGAGGUAGCAUCUACAGGGUUAAAUGCUGGUGGCUAGCAGACCUUGUACGGGAUCAAAACAUUGGUGUGUACUGAAGCUUACACAGGAAAACUCAACAAUACUGCUCUGGAAACAUCACACACAAAGUGUUUCUGAGUUACCGACAAUGCCGUUGAAAUGUAGUAAAGCAGUUUCCAAGCUACGCGAUCGAGGUAUAUGAAGAUUC